GACGAACGCUGGCGGCGUGCUUAACACAUGCAAGUCGAACGGAAAGGCCCUGCUUUUGUGGGGUUCUCGAGUGGCGAACGGGUGAGUAACACGUGAGUAACCUGCCCUUGACUUUGGGAUAACUUCAGGAAACUGGGGCUAAUACCGGAUAGGAGCUCCUGCUGCAUGGUGGGGGUUAGAAAGUUUCGGCGGUUGGGGAUGGACGCGCGGCUUAUCAUCUUGUUGGUGGGGGAGUGGCUUACCAAGGGUUUGGCGGGUAGCCGACCUGAGAGGGUGACCGGCCACAUUGGGACUGAGAGACGGACCAGACUCCUACGGGAGGCAGCAGUGGAGAGUAUUGCACAGUGAGCGGAAGCCGGAUGCAGCAACGCCGCGUGCGGGAUAACGGCCUGCGGGUGGUAAACCGCUUUGGCCUGUGACGAAGCGUGAGUGACGGUAAUGAGUAGAGAAGCAACGGCUAACUACGUG
This 468-nucleotide ribosomal RNA is filed under the name uncultured bacterium. RNAcentral describes it as "partial 16S ribosomal RNA". It matches the Rfam family "Bacterial small subunit ribosomal RNA", at positions 28 to 507 of the family's 1533-position model. The record is from RNAcentral.